UGCCAGCCGCCGCGGUAAUACGGAAGGUGCGAGCGUUAAUCGGAAUCACUGGGCGUAAAGCGCACGUAGGCGGUUGCGUAAGUCGGAUGUGAAAGCCCCGGGCUUAACCUGGGAAUUGCAUUCGAUACUGCAUGGCUAGAGUAUGGUAGAGGGAAGUGGAAUUUCCGGUGUAGCGGUGAAAUGCGUAGAUAUCGGAAGGAAUACCAGUGGCGAAGGCGCUGGCCUGGUCGGAUACUGACGCUGAGGUGUGAUAGCGUGGGGAGCAAACAGGAUUAGAUA
This 279-nucleotide ribosomal RNA is filed under the name uncultured bacterium. RNAcentral describes it as "partial 16S ribosomal RNA". It matches the Rfam family "Bacterial small subunit ribosomal RNA", at positions 506 to 784 of the family's 1533-position model. The record is from RNAcentral.